UGGGGAAUCUUGCGCAAUGGGCGAAAGCCUGACGCAGCAACGCCGCGUGUGUGAUGAAGGUCUUCGGAUCGUAAAGCACUGUCGCGAGGGACGAAUAAGGGCCGGGUGAACAAUCCGGUCUGAUGACGGUACCUCGAGAGGAAGCACCGGCUAACUCUGUG
Molecule: ribosomal RNA, 161 nt
Filed under: uncultured bacterium
Lineage: Bacteria
Description: partial 16S rRNA
Rfam family: Bacterial small subunit ribosomal RNA
Source: RNAcentral